This is a non-coding RNA of Picea glauca (white spruce), 124 nucleotides long. NCBI's taxonomy places the organism in Eukaryota, Viridiplantae, Streptophyta, Pinopsida, Pinales, Pinaceae. The record is from Rfam.
UCUUAUGUACAUGCCUACAAUGUCAAUGCAAUGUAUCCCGUCAAAAAUUUGUAGUUAAUCAUGCUUGGUCUACAGUAGUACUAGGAUGGGUGACCUCCUAAGAAGUCCUUGUGUUUUACAUGCC